AUUGAACGCUGGCGGCAGGCCUAACACAUGCAAGUCGAACGGUAACAGGAAGAUGCUUGCUUCUUUGCUGACGAGUGGCGGACGGGUGAGUAAUGUCUGGGAAACUGCCUGAUGGAGGGGGAUAACUACUGGAAACGGUAGCUAAUACCGCAUAACGUCGCAAGACCAAAGAGGGGGACCUUCGGGCCUCUUGCCAUCGGAUGUGCCCAGAUGGGAUUAGCUAGUAGGUGGGGUAACGGCUCACCUAGGCGACGAUCCCUAGCUGGUCUGAGAGGAUGACCGCCCACGGGGAAGAGGGGACAGGGCCCAGACGCCUGGGGGGGGCAGAGGGGGGGAAUAUGCCAAAGGGGGCGAAAGCGUGAUGAGGCAGGGCGGGGUGUAGGAGGAAGGCGUUGGGGUGGAAAAGUUCUUUCAGGGGGGAGGAGGGGAGAAAAGUUAAUACCUUCCCUCAUUGACGUUCCCCGAAAAAGAAGCCCCGGCUAACUCCGUG
This 490-nucleotide ribosomal RNA is filed under the name uncultured bacterium. Its description in RNAcentral is "partial 16S ribosomal RNA". It matches the Rfam family "Bacterial small subunit ribosomal RNA", at positions 29 to 507 of the family's 1533-position model. The record is from RNAcentral.